RNAcentral lists this ribosomal RNA (365 nucleotides) under uncultured bacterium. Its description in RNAcentral is "bacterial SSU rRNA". It matches the Rfam family "Bacterial small subunit ribosomal RNA", at positions 527 to 898 of the family's 1533-position model. The record is from RNAcentral.
AUAGGUGGCAAGCGUUAUCCGGAUUUAUUGGGCGUAAAGCGUGCGUAGACGGUUCUGCAAGUCUGAGGUUAAAUCUAGGAGCUCAACUCCUAUCCGCCUUGGAAACUACAGGACUAGAGUAUAGAAGAGGUUAGUGGAAUUUCAUGUGUAGCGGUGGAAUGCGUAGAUAUAUGAAGGAACAUCAGUGGCGAAAGCGGCUAACUGGUCUAUUACUGACGUUGAUGCACGAAAGCGUGGGGAGCAAAUAGGAUUAGAUACCCUAGUAGUCCACGCCGUAAACGAUGAGUACUAAGUGUUGCCUUCGGGGCAGUGCUGUAGCUAACGCAUUAAGUACUCCGCCUGAGUAGUAUGCUCGCAAGAGUGAA